RNAcentral lists this unclassified non-coding RNA (405 nucleotides) under Hevea brasiliensis (rubber tree). Lineage: Eukaryota; Viridiplantae; Streptophyta; Magnoliopsida; Malpighiales; Euphorbiaceae. The record is from RNAcentral.
GCCAACAUGAGCUCUUCAACAAAACAAAAAGGAACACUUGCAAGAAAAUCAAACAUGUGGCUAUUGAUUAUUGAGCUCUGCAUUUGGAGAAACUGGGUUUGUAAUUCUAACAGACCAUGCCACGUCUAAGUAAAAUGUAAAAGCAAAAGUAUUCAACUUCACCGCUGCCACAGCAGCUGUAAGAACAAUCGAUGCACUAAAAGCAAACAAAAUCACAGAACUUUUUUAUCCUGUGUUUGUAGAGUUAGAAAAUCUCCCAUUAUCUGAACCAGAUUUAUUCCGGCAGAAAAGUUGCAAGUGCUAUCAGUGAUGAUGAUCAUCAUCGUCGUGUCCAUCAGGAGGUCCUCCAGGGCCAACCACCUUCAACACAAAAUACUGUGCGCAUACUGGGCAUUCAUGUGGCUU